UUUAAUAAUAAUAAUAAGAAUGAGAGAUAGGGGCAAUGAGUAUGUAGUGAAGAACAAUACCAUAACUUUCUUAUGAUUAGAUUUGACGACCCCAAAUUUAUGCUGGUCGUGGUGAUGGUGACUAUCAAUCGCCAGUCUGUCCAGCUCGGGGAAAUACAGGAACCCUUGAAAGAAAACCUGGAAAACAGAGCAAAACAGAGGCCGCGAUGAACAGGGUCGUUCAAUCGAAUCGAAGAUCAGAGAAGGGUACGGCGGAAACACAAACCUUUUUAAGGAUUAUGAAGCAGAGGAAGUGAGAAGAAGGAAGGCGCCGCCUUCUAGAGAGAAGUCAUAACAAGGGAAACGAGGAGAGCUUUGUGACGCCACAGAGCUAAAUAUGGAAUAGUUAUGAGAUGGUGAGAGGGAAAAUAAGAGCGGAAGAAGAAACCCCAAUAAAUCAGAAGGCGGUCACGGUAAUAUUAAAAUAAUUAAAAAAUGAAUGGAAG
RNAcentral lists this long non-coding RNA (485 nucleotides) under Carica papaya (papaya). Its description in RNAcentral is "long non-coding RNA (CPAP_LNC009735)". The record is from RNAcentral. Lineage: Eukaryota; Viridiplantae; Streptophyta; Magnoliopsida; Brassicales; Caricaceae.